Ovis aries (sheep) is the source of this 72-nucleotide transfer RNA. It matches the Rfam family "tRNA". Rfam says of the family: Transfer RNA (tRNA) molecules are approximately 80 nucleotides in length. The record is from Rfam. Lineage: Eukaryota; Metazoa; Chordata; Mammalia; Artiodactyla; Bovidae.
UCCCUGGUGUCUUAAACAGUAAAGAAUCUGCCUGCAAUGCAGGAGACUUGGGUUCAAUGCCUGAGUUGGGAA